UACGUAGGGUGCAAGCGUUGUCCGGAAUUAUUGGGCGUAAAGAGCUCGUAGGCGGCCUGUCGCGUCGGCUGUGAAAACCCAGGGCUCAACCCUGGGCCUGCAGUCGAUACGGGGCAGGCUAGAGUCCGGCAGGGGGAGACUGGAAUUCCUGGUGUAGCGGUGAAAAUGCGCAGAUAUCAGGAGGAACACCGGUGGCGAAGGCGG
RNAcentral lists this ribosomal RNA (204 nucleotides) under uncultured bacterium. RNAcentral's name for it is "partial 16S ribosomal RNA". It matches the Rfam family "Bacterial small subunit ribosomal RNA", at positions 524 to 724 of the family's 1533-position model. The record is from RNAcentral.